Non-coding RNA from Talpa occidentalis (Iberian mole), 345 nucleotides. The record is from the annotation of a RefSeq genome assembly. Lineage: Eukaryota; Metazoa; Chordata; Mammalia; Eulipotyphla; Talpidae.
AUGGCCUGGUGCCCUCUGCUCCUCAUGCUCAUCUCUCAUUGCACAGGAUCCUGGGCCCAGUCUGUGCUGACCCAGCCACAGUCAGUCUCAGGGAACCUGGGCCAGAGGGUCACCAUCUCCUGCACUGGAAGCAGCAACAACAUUGGGAGUAAUUAUGUGAACUGGUACCAACAGCUCUCAGGAACAGCCCCCAAACUCCUGAUACAUGGUAGCAGCAAUCGACCCUCCGGGGUCCCUGAUCGAUCCUCUGGCUCCAAGUCUGGCAGCUCAGCCACCCUGACCAUCACUGGGCUCCAGCCUGAGGACGAGGCUGAUUAUCACUGUACAAGUUGGGACAGCAUGUAG